GGAUGAGGUGUGGAUAGCGGAGAAAUUCCAAUCGAACCCGGAGAUAGCUGGUUCUCCUCGAAAUAGCUUUAGGGCUAGCCUCAUGAGAGUCUUAUGGAGGUAGAGCACUGAAUUGCCUAGGGGGCGUCAAAGCUUACCAAAGCAUAUCAAACUCCGAAUGCCAUCAAGAUGAUUCAUGGGAGUCAGACCAUACGAGAUAAGUUGGAUGGUCAAAAGGGAAAGAGCCCAGACCUACAGCUAAGGUCCCAAAGUACGUGUUAAGUGGAAAAGGAUGUGGGGAUUCUAAGACAACUAGGACGUUGGCUUAGAAGCAGCCAUUCAUUGAAAGAGUGCGUAAUAGCUCACUAGUCGAGAGUCCCUGCGCCGAAAAUGUCCGGGGCUGAAACACGACACCGAAGCUUAGGAAUGUGUAAACAUUGGUAGAGGAGCAUUGCUGGCGGGAUGAAGCCAUACCGUAAGGAGUGGUGGACUGCCAGGAAGAGAGAAUGCCGGAAUGAGUAGCGAGAUGAAGGUGAGAAUCCUUCAGGCCGAAUAUCUAAGGUUUCCAGAGUAAAGCUGAUCUGCUCUGGGUAAGUCGGGACCUAAGGCGAGGUCGAAAGACGUAGUCGAUGGAUAACAGGUUGAAAUUCCUGUACCGCAUAUAAACAGAACUGUGGGGACACAGACAGGGAAUGGAAUCCGGGAAUGGAUAUCCCGGUGCAAGCGAGGUAGGAGUGCUGUUGGCAAAUCCGCAGCACGAUCUGAAGACGUGACGCGUACCGAACAUAAGUAGGGAAGUCCAGGCCCCUGGCUGUCAAGAAAAGCCGCUAUUGUUUUAUAUGUGCCCGUACCGCAAACCGACACAGGUGGAUGAGGAGAGAAUCCUAAGGCCGACGGGAGAAGUAUUGUUAAGGAACUCGGCAAAAUGACUCCGUAACUUCGGGAGAAGGAGUGCCAUGAGAGUGGCCGCAGAGAAAUGGCCCAAGCAACUGUUUAGCAAAAACACAGGUCUAUGCAAAACCGCAAGGUGAAGUAUAUGGGCUGACGCCUGCCCGGUGCUGGAAGGUUAAGGGGAGAGGUUAGCGCAAGCGAAGCUUUGAACUUAAGCCCCAGUAAACGGCGGCCGUAACUAUAACGGUCCUAAGGUAGCGAAAUUCCUUGUCGGGUAAGUUCCGACCC
This 1158-nucleotide ribosomal RNA is filed under the name human gut metagenome. RNAcentral's name for it is "bacterial LSU rRNA". It matches the Rfam family "Bacterial large subunit ribosomal RNA", at positions 802 to 1989 of the family's 2925-position model. The record is from RNAcentral.